AGGCCAAAAAACUAAAAAGGGUUGUCUUGGCCUACUGUGAAAAAUACCACAGCAGCGUAGAAGGUACUAUAGUCAAGGCAAAGCCUUAUUUUCCCUUACCAGAGCCCCCUACAGAGCCCCCUACAGACCCCGAGCAGCCAUCCACAAGUACACAAGCUUCUGGCACACAACAUGGUCCCACAGCAUCUCUGGAUGCCGGUGCAGAGCAAGGUGCCACAGGAUCACCUGGAUCUAGUCCAGGACAACAGGGACAAGGGUCUCAGACAAAGGGUGGGCGCGCCGACCCAGCUUUCUUGUACAAAGUGGUUGAUGCUGUUAUGGACCCAGAAACGCUGGUGAAAGUAAAAGAUGCUGAAGAUCAGUUGGGUGCACGAGUGGGUUACAUCGAACUGGAUCUCAACAGCGGUAAGAUCCUUGAGAGUUUUCGCCCCGAAGAACGUUUUCCAAUGAUGAGCACUUUUAAAGUUCUGCUAUGUGGCGCGGUAUUAUCCCGUAUUGACGCCGGGCAAGAGCAACUCGGUCGCCGCAUACACUAUUCUCAGAAUGACUUGGUUGAGUACUCACCAGUCACAGAAAAGCAUCUUACGGAUGGCAUGACAGUAAGAGAAUUAUGCAGUGCUGCCAUAACCAUGAGUGAUAACACUGCGGCCAACUUACUUCUGACAACGAUCGGAGGACCGAAGGAGCUAACCGCUUUUUUGCACAACAUGGGGGAUCAUGUAACUCGCCUUGAUCGUUGGGAACCGGAGCUGAAUGAAGCCAUACCAAACGACGAGCGUGACACCACGAUGCCUGUAGCAAUGGCAACAACGUUGCGCAAACUAUUAACUGGCGAACUACUUACUCUAGCUUCCCGGCAACAAUUAAUAGACUGGAUGGAGGCGGAUAAAGUUGCAGGACCACUUCUGCGCUCGGCCCUUCCGGCUGGCUGGUUUAUUGCUGAUAAAUCUGGAGCCGGUGAGCGUGGGUCUCGCGGUAUCAUUGCAGCACUGGGGCCAGAUGGUAAGCCCUCCCGUAUCGUAGUUAUCUACACGACGGGGAGUCAGGCAACUAUGGAUGAACGAAAUAGACAGAUCGCUGAGAUAGGUGCCUCACUGAUUAAGCAUUGGUAACCGGUUAGUAAUGAGUUUAAACGGGGGAGGCUAACUGAAACACGGAAGGAGACAAUACCGGAAGGAACCCGCGCUAUGACGGCAAUAAAAAGACAGAAUAAAACGCACGGGUGUUGGGUCGUUUGUUCAUAAACGCGGGGUUCGGUCCCAGGGCUGGCACUCUGUCGAUACCCCACCGAGACCCCAUUGGGGCCAAUACGCCCGCGUUUCUUCCUUUUCCCCACCCCACCCCCCAAGUUCGGGUGAAGGCCCAGGGCUCGCAGCCAACGUCGGGGCGGCAGGCCCUGCCAUAGCAGAUCCACUAGUAACGGCCGCCAGUGUGCUGGAAUUCAGGGACAUAAAUCACAUUCCCAGAAUAUAUCCUGGGCAACACCUUCGCCAGGGCAUGCAACAAGAAUGUAAAGCCAGUGGUCUGGAAUUUUCUCUGUGCCAAAAAUAUGUCUUCUAAUGGAAAAUGGUUCAUUAAAUUGUUUUCAAUAAAAAAGUGUGUCAUGCAAUCGUUCAAUAAUUCAUGAUCCUCCGUCCAACUGCCGGGACAUAGUACCUCCUCACACACAUAUCUGCCAACAUCAAAAAAUCCAACAAUUCUUCCACUGUUGAUGACAUCUACAAACAACGAGGUGAAAAGUUUGGACAGGUCUCUUUUCCAGUUCUUGAGGGCAGGGCCAUAAUCCGCGCGGUAAACGCUGUCAUAGUGCCUUCUAAACUCCUGGGUCAAUGUUAUUAUUUUAGAGACAUCAACUAACACAGCAGAAUCAACACAAUCCAGUUCUUCCACUUUAGAAACAGUCUUCAAGAAGGCUGUAAUCAGGGUUGCCCAAUAAGUCCCGCUUUUCUUAUGACUCAUGUUUGAUGAUGUAGAGAAUCUGUGGAAUCUGACUAACUCUUCCAACUAGAUGUUUAGAUAUGUGCCACUUAAAAUAGCUGCGCACGCACAACACACCACUUUUUAGUACCUGAAACUAAUUACAUCAUCUGGAAUAAAGUCUUUUGUAUUCCACCCGAACCCAAGCUCCCCGGCACCCCACAACAUUCCACCUUCAACAAACAGCCUACAAUCUACAGGCUACACCUGCGACCUCCAUGGCCAGUCAAGAAUUCCAAGGAUUUCUUGACAGCUCCCUGUUAAAUGAAGAAGACUGCAGACAGAUGAUCUAUCGCAGCGAAAGAGAACACGAUGCGCGCAUGGUGGGCGUCAACGUGGACCAGCACUUUACUUCCCAAUACAGGAAAGUCCUAACCACGUGGAUGUUUUGUGUGUGCAAAGACCUCCGUCAGGAUAACAACGUCUUUCCCCUGGCGGUCGCCUUACUGGAUGAACUAUUCCUUAGCACACGGAUAGAUCGGGAAAAUUACCAGUCCACCGCAGCAGUGGCCCUCCAUAUCGCAGGAAAGGUCAGGGCCUACAUGCCCAUCAAGGCCACCCAGUUGGCAUACCUUUGUGGAGGAGCAACAACAGCUGACAAACUAUUGACUCUGGAAGUCAAAAGUCUGGAUACCCUCUCGUGGGUAGCUGACAGGUGCCUGAGUACAGAUCUCAUCUGUUACAUCCUGCAUAUCAUGCAUGCCCCCCGGGAAGACUACCUGAACAUUUAUAACCUCUGUCACCCAAAAAUCUUCUGCGCCCUAUGCGAUGGCAGGUCAGCCAUGAAACGCCCAGUGCUAAUCACACUGGCCUGUAUGCACUUAACUAUGAACCAAAAGUAUGAUUACUAUGAAAACAGGAUAGAUGGUGUGUGCAAAAGCCUCUAUAUAACCAAGGAAGAGCUACACCAGUGUUGUGAUUUAGUAGAUAUUGCCAUUGUCUCUUUCGAUGAAAACUAUUUCAAAAUAAAUGCCUAGAUUUGCCCUUUC
This 2966-nucleotide long non-coding RNA is filed under the name synthetic construct. RNAcentral's name for it is "blac-02". The record is from RNAcentral.